AGGACCAAAUAAAAUGACAGGAGUAAAAGAGUAAAACAGCAGUACAGACAGGGAACAUGGCGCUGAAAACAGCACACGGCGCUGUACGGUGCUGGUGGCGGCUGUGGACGGUAACCCGAGUGAAAGGAAUGUAGCCCAAAAAAUGUACCUAACUUUAUUUAGGAUUGGAGUAAAGAGUCAUACACAAUAAACAAUAACAUUUCUGAAGUAAAAAUUCUAGUAAGUUUAAAAGUGAGCGAGCAGAAAAACUCGAUAUACAUGUAUUUCUCCGCAGUGUAAAGACUUGUGUGUGCGGUGAUGUCGCACAGUUCCCGCACCACCUCACUGUUUCCCCGAGGCCUGGACUAAAAGGGAGUAAAAGGGCAGGAUUGUGGAGGUCUCCAGCGCCGCCAGGCUCCUCAGCCCACUCUCAGCUCCUCUCUCCAUUUUAUCACCGCAGCUUUUCUCCAACUUUCCUCCUCUUCAAACUCAUCCUUAAACUCUCUCUAACACACACAUGAGGAACUGAAGAAUCCCACACGAACUUGUUCAGACUUCGACCAUGUAGUGUCUCGUUUUCGCCGCGGUGUUUUCAGAGCAGAAGCACCUUCUCCCCCGUACACGGAGUUUUUUUCUCUUUUGGAGGAGUUCGGCUUGUUUCGACCCCUGCAACAACUACAGUGAAGCCAGAAGCAGUCAACAUGGCCGAUAGCGGCAGACAGAGGAGGUACAUUACUGUCACAGGGGAAACUGCAAGACUUCUGAAAUAAAGAUGAACAUUGUUAGAGCAAUAAACUUGAAUAAACUUGAAGAACAUCAGUUUCGGUCAAAGAGAAUAAACUUUCAGAGUAACAGAAAAAACUUUAAAAACACAA
Long non-coding RNA from Silurus meridionalis, 854 nucleotides. RefSeq lists it as uncharacterized. The transcript is spliced from 2 exons. The record is from RefSeq and is a predicted model, not a curated record. Lineage: Eukaryota; Metazoa; Chordata; Actinopteri; Siluriformes; Siluridae.